RNAcentral lists this microRNA precursor (86 nucleotides) under Populus trichocarpa (black cottonwood). Its description in RNAcentral is "miR167g stem-loop (ptc-MIR167g)". Its record names the gene ptc-MIR167g. Lineage: Eukaryota; Viridiplantae; Streptophyta; Magnoliopsida; Malpighiales; Salicaceae. The record is from miRBase by way of RNAcentral.
CACUAUCAGUUGAAGCUGCCAGCAUGAUCUUAACCUCCCUCCUUUGUCGAGGAAAGAACAGAUCAUGUGGCAGUUUCACCUGAAGU